CAGUCGCCACGGGAAUACGUAGGGUGCAAGCGUUAAUCGGAAUUACUGGGCGUAAAGCGUGCGCAGGCGGUUCGUUAAGACAGAUGUGAAAUCCCCGGGCUUAACCUGGGAACUGCAUUUGUGACUGGCGGGCUAGAGUAUGGCAGAGGGGGGUAGAAUUCCACGUGUAGCAGUGAAAUGCGUAGAGAUGUGGAGGAAUACCGAUGGCGAAGGCAGCCCCCUGGGCCAAUACCGACGCUCAUGCACGAAAGCGUGGGGAGCAAACAGGAUUAGAUACCCCCGUAGUCCCUGUCUCUUAUAU
This 301-nucleotide ribosomal RNA is filed under the name uncultured bacterium. Its description in RNAcentral is "partial 16S ribosomal RNA". It matches the Rfam family "Bacterial small subunit ribosomal RNA", at positions 509 to 809 of the family's 1533-position model. The record is from RNAcentral.